GAUGAAGAACGCAGCGAAAUGCGAUACUUGGUGUGAAUUGCAGAAUCCCGUGAACCAUCGAGUCUUUGAACGCAAGUUGCGCCCGAAGCCAUUAGGCCGAGGGGACGCCUGCCUGGGCGUCACACGUCGUUGCCCCCCCAUCUACUCCUUCGGGAUUGCGGGGGGCGGAUGAUGGCCUCCCGUGCGCCUCGUCGCGCGGUUGGCAUAAAUGCCAAGUCCUCGGCGACACACGCCACGACAAUCGGUGGUUGCGAAACCUCGGUUGCCCGUCGUGUGCGGUCGUCGCGCAUCGAGGGCUCGAAAAAAUUGCCGGGCUCCGGCUCGGCUUUCAACGCGACCCCAGGUCAGGCGGGGUUACCCGCUGAAUUUAAGCAUAUCAAUAAGCGGAGGA
Molecule: unclassified non-coding RNA, 391 nt
Filed under: soil metagenome
Description: partial contains 5.8S ribosomal RNA, internal transcribed spacer 2, and large subunit ribosomal RNA
Rfam family: 5.8S ribosomal RNA (bases 1-122)
Source: RNAcentral